This is a long non-coding RNA of Triticum dicoccoides, 240 nucleotides long. RefSeq lists it as uncharacterized. The record is from RefSeq and is a predicted model, not a curated record. NCBI's taxonomy places the organism in Eukaryota, Viridiplantae, Streptophyta, Magnoliopsida, Poales, Poaceae. The transcript is spliced from 3 exons.
UGAAAAGGAGCUGAAAUGCUAGAGCAUAAGGAUGUGGAGCAGGCCAAAUACUCAGCAUUCCUCCUGUUUCCAUCAGUGACAGGCAGGCAGCAUGAGUACUGGUUCAUGGUGGUAUCAUCAUCUCACCAAGUUUGGCAAGAACUGCAUGUGAUGGAGCAACUACCAAUGUGCGUACAAACUAAGGAUGCUGCCAAUAAUCUAUGCAGAAUAUUUUGUCAAGACUUCGAACUCCGUCAUGCA